GAUGAACGCUGGCGGCGUGCCUAAUACAUGCAAGUCGAGCGAACGGACGAGAAGCUUGCUUCUCUGAUGUUAGCGGCGGACGGGUGAGUAACACGUGGAUAACCUACUUAUAAGACUGGGUUAACUUCUGGAAACCGGAGCUAAUACCGGAUAAUAUUUUGAACCGCAUGGUUUAAAAGUGAAAGACGGUCUUGCUGUCACUUAUAGAUGUAUCCGCGCUGCAUUAGCUAGUUGGUAAGGUAACGGCUUACCAAGGCAACGAUGCAUAGCCGACCUGAGAGGGUGAUCGGCCAGACUGGAACUGAGACAGGGUCCAGACUCCUACGGGAGGCAGCAGUAGGGAAUCUUCCGCGAUGGGCGAAAGCCUGACGGAGCAACGCCGCGUGAGUGAUGAAGGUCUUCGGAUCGUAAAACUCUGUUAGUAGGGAAGAACAUAUGUGUAAGUAACUGUGCACAUCUUGACGGUACCUAAGCAGAAAGCCACGGCUAACUACGUG
This 497-nucleotide ribosomal RNA is filed under the name uncultured bacterium. Its description in RNAcentral is "partial 16S ribosomal RNA". It matches the Rfam family "Bacterial small subunit ribosomal RNA", at positions 28 to 507 of the family's 1533-position model. The record is from RNAcentral.